This 62-nucleotide transfer RNA is filed under the name Aulacochilus grouvellei. RNAcentral describes it as "tRNA-Glu". It matches the Rfam family "tRNA". From Rfam's summary of the family: Transfer RNA (tRNA) molecules are approximately 80 nucleotides in length. Their secondary structure includes four short double-helical elements and three loops (D, anti-codon, and T loops). The record is from RNAcentral. Lineage: Eukaryota; Metazoa; Arthropoda; Insecta; Coleoptera; Erotylidae.
AUUUAUAUAGUUUAAAAAAACAUUACAUUUUCAUUGUAAAAUUAGAAACUUUCUUAUAAAUA